GUGUCAGGGCAACAGCAGCAGUAAUCACAUACUAGCAGAUGGGAGUGCUCAUGCUUGACUGAACAGCGUAUACUGUCAUCCAGCCUCACUAUUAAGCUACAAAAAACCACAUACCAUAAUCAUAUUGCCAUCAUCAUUAAAAAAAGUUGGGCAUUGACCUCAUUUCCUCUCUAAUGGUUUUCCAAUUGUUUUCUGACCAUCUCACUGAUUGUUUGAAUAGAUUAUCAGUGUGUUUUAGGCUCAGAGAGAAGAAAAGGCCAUUGGAGCAUCAAGUGCUUAACCGAGAGCUCCAUAGUGAUUGGUCACGUGAUGAUCAAGUGAUGAGCGAAGAUGGAAUAUUUCAUAUCUCAUAUGGGGGUUUUGCAUCAGCCAAGCAACUGCCAUUGAGUGGUGUUCAAGCAUGGACGAGAUAAUCAAGGAGGUGCUCUGACGUUAGCUAGCCACGGGUUGGAGAGGUUGUGGAUGAGAAAAUCGUAAGGGAGGACCACCCAUUGGGCUCGGAGGAGAGAGAUUCCCUGCACGCCAUCUCUUUGGAAUAUUAAUGGGCUUCUCCUGGGAAAACUGCCCACAGAAUAGGCCACUCCAUCGCUGUCUCUGUUUCCGCUCAGCUGUCCUGAGGGUACGUGAGGGUGUUUGGUACAAUCCGGUCUGGAGAAACCUCAAGUACACCUCAAACUUUUUGAUGUUUCAUUAAGAACUCUUGAAGUUGAACGUUUCUCCCCCCCCCCCUCCCCCAGAAUAUAUUACCGCUUUUAUUGCACAAUAAAAAGCACAGGAAUGGCUACAUUUAU
Molecule: long non-coding RNA, 791 nt
Organism: Sinocyclocheilus rhinocerous
Lineage: Eukaryota; Metazoa; Chordata; Actinopteri; Cypriniformes; Cyprinidae
Exons: 4
Source: RefSeq, a predicted model, not a curated record